UCGGACGUGGUGUACGGUACACCCUCGCUUUGGAUGGCUGAUCUCGUGUAGUAUACAGCGGGUAUCGGGGUUCGACUCCCCGCGUCUGAA
Mycena olivaceomarginata is the source of this 90-nucleotide non-coding RNA. Lineage: Eukaryota; Fungi; Basidiomycota; Agaricomycetes; Agaricales; Mycenaceae. The record is from the annotation of a GenBank genome assembly.